This 1494-nucleotide ribosomal RNA is filed under the name metagenome. RNAcentral's name for it is "bacterial SSU rRNA". It matches the Rfam family "Bacterial small subunit ribosomal RNA". The record is from RNAcentral.
AGGCAUGCAAGUCGAACGAGAACCAGUGGUUUCAAGUUUUCGGACGAGAAACCGCUGGGGACAGUGGCGGAAGGGUGAGUAACGCGUGGGCAAUCUGCCCUUAAGUUCGGGACAACGGUUGGAAACGGCCGCUAAUACCGGAUGUGGUUAUCCGUCGCCUGACGGGUGGACUAAAGAUGGGGACCUUUCGGGGCCUGUCGCUUGAGGAGGAGCCCGCGUCCCAUCAGCUUGUUGGUAGGGUAACGGCCUACCAAGGCUUACGGGUAGCUGGUCUGAGAGGAUGAUCAGCCACACUGGGACUGAGACACUGCCCAGACUCCUACGGGAGGCUGCAGUCGAGGAUCAUUGGCAAUGCGCGAAAGCGUGACCAUGCGACGCUGCGUGGAGGAUGACGGCCUUCGGGUUGUAAGCUCCUGUCAUUCGGGAAAAACGAGCGGGCCGUUAAUAUCGGUUCGCUGUGAUGGUACCGAAAGAGGAAGCCACGGCUAACUCUGUGCCAGCAGCCGCGGUAAUACAGAGGUGGCAAGCGUUGUUCGGAUUUACUGGGCGUAAAGCGUGCGUAGGCGGUUACGUAUGUCGGAUGUGAAAGCCCAUGGCCCAACCAUGGAAGUGCAUUCGAAACUGCGGAACUAGAGUGCAGGAGGGGAGAGCGGAAUUCAUGGUGUAGCGGUGAAAUGCGUUGAUAUCAUGAAGAACACCGGUGGCGAAGGCGGCUCUCUGGAAUGUUACUGACGCUGAGGCACGAAAGCUGGGGGAGCAAACAGGAUUAGAUACCCUGGUAGUCCCAGCCGUAAACGGUGUGCACUUGGUGUAGGGGGUGUUGACCCCCCCUGUGCCGGAGCUAACGCGUUAAGUGCACCGCCUGGGGAGUACGGCCGCAAGGCUAAAACUCAAAGAAAUUGACGGGGGCCCGCACAAGCGGAGGAGCAUGUGGCUUAAUUCGAUGCAACGCGAAGAACCUUACCAGGGCUUGACAUGGCGACCCUUCGGGGGUGGUAGCGAAAGUUACCUUUACGAUCACAGGUGCUGCAUGGCUGUCGUCAGUUCGUGCCGUGAGGUGUUGGGUUAAGUCCCGCAACGAACGCAACCCUUGUGGUUAGUUGCCACCGUCGGUGAUGAGCCGGCGAGCACUCUAGCCAGACUGCCCGUGCAAGCGGGAGGAAGGUGGGGAUGACGUCAAGUCAGUAUGGCCCUUACGCCCUGGGCUGCACACGUGCUACAAUGGUCGGUACAGAAGGAUGCAAUACCGCGAGGUGGAGCAAAUCCUCAAAGCCGACCCCAGUUCGGAUUGGAGUCUGCAACUCGACUCCAUGGAGUUGGAUUCGCUAGUAAUGGCGCAUCAGCUACGGCGCCGUGAAUGCGUUCCCGGGCCUUGUACACACCGCCCGUCACAUCAUGAAAGCCGUCUGCACCCGAAGUCACUGAGCUAACCUUUUAUUAGGAGGCAGGUGCCGAAGGUGUGGGUGGUGAUUGGGAUGAAGUCGUAACAAGGUA